This 343-nucleotide long non-coding RNA is filed under the name Sorghum bicolor (sorghum). RNAcentral's name for it is "long non-coding RNA (SBIC_LNC008534)". The record is from RNAcentral. Lineage: Eukaryota; Viridiplantae; Streptophyta; Magnoliopsida; Poales; Poaceae.
GGGCUAGGGGGUCUGCUUAUAUAGUCCCCUCAAGUGAAUCUGGGCCGUCGGAUCAAACCGACAUUGAUUGAAUGGUUAUCCUUGAUCCUUUAGGUCGGUGGAGCAUAAUCCGUGAGACGGGUCCUGGUUGGAGUCUAACUCAGGGCGGGCGCCCUAGGUGGGAGGGCGGGCGCCCUGCCCCCGGGCCCGAUCGCCUUCCCGUUCGUUCCCGUGGCUUCUGGAGUCUUCUAGAUGAUAGAAAAUUGCGCGGCACGUUAAUAUCUCUAUGUAAACCUGACAUGUGGGCCUUUCCUCCAUAUUUCCUGAUAACCCCCUGCAGAAAUAGACAAACACCAAAGCUCGU